UGGGGAAUUUUGGACAAUGGGCGCAAGCCUGAUCCAGCCAUGCCGCGUGAGUGAAGAAGGCCUUCGGGUUGUAAAGCUCUUUCAGCCGGAAAGAAAUCGCGCAGGAUAAUACUCUGCGUGGAUGACGGUACCGGAAGAAGAAGCACCGGCUAACUACGUGCCAGCAGCCGCGGUAAUACGUAGGGUGCGAGCGUUAAUCGGAAUUACUGGGCGUAAGGCGUGCGCAGGCGGUUAUGCAAGACAGAGGUGAAAUCCCCGGGCUCAACCUGGGAACUGCCUUUGUGACUGCAUAGCUAGAGUACGGUAGAGGGGGAUGGAAUUCCACGUGUAGCAGUGAAAUGCGUAGAUAUGCGGAGGAACACCGAUGGCGAAGGCAAUCCCCUGGGCCUGCACUGACGCUCAUGCACGAAAGCGUGGGGAGCAAACA
RNAcentral lists this ribosomal RNA (427 nucleotides) under uncultured bacterium. RNAcentral describes it as "bacterial SSU rRNA". It matches the Rfam family "Bacterial small subunit ribosomal RNA", at positions 355 to 774 of the family's 1533-position model. The record is from RNAcentral.